This 354-nucleotide long non-coding RNA is filed under the name Camarhynchus parvulus. RNAcentral describes it as "lncRNA (ENSCPVG00000004447.2)". Lineage: Eukaryota; Metazoa; Chordata; Aves; Passeriformes; Thraupidae. The record is from RNAcentral.
GGGCGCCGGACCUGUGCUGGCUGGGCUGCGCUCCCAGCUGAGUUUCCCGCUCCGCUCCGAGCCCGCGAGCGGCUCCGUGCAGCCUGCAGGGCAGAACAAAAAGCCAUCUAAGGCGCUGGAAACUUUUCCUUUGUUGCUAGGGAAGUCAGUGCAGUGAGGUUAGCAGAGUGCUUUCCUGUGCCCUGUGUUGUAAAGAACAAGCUGAGGUCCUGUGUGUGUUUCUGGCUUGGUGUUUGCAGCCCCUGACAGCGAGCGCUGUCUGACAGAGCCAUCCAAGUGAGCACAAGCCAGUUGGUUGCACCCUGCGCCCAGAAGGGGAUUUCACAUUUGAAAGGAGCUCACCACAGAGGAGGU